AUGGGUGGGGGAAGGGCGAGGAGGCAGGCGACGGUUGCUCGUUCCGUGCGCGCGCGCGCGUUCUCUGCUUGCCGGGCCGCGCUACAAAAAAAGGCGGGGUUGGCUGGGGAGCGCCAUGAGGGGCAUUUUUUCGGAGUAAUUGCGCGGCGAGAGAAUGGGGCGGUUCCGAUUCCUUUGGUGGCGACUGCUGUGGGCUGUCCUCGGCAUCCUGCUGGGAUCCCCAGUCCAAAGUAUCUGUGCUUCCAACUGCAACUGUACAGAUUUCACCAGAGGAAACAGACAACCUUCAGGAUCAGAAAACAAAGGAAGAAGAGAAGACUUUGAAUGAUCUUGUGGGCCUUUUGCAAGACAUGGUAAAAAAUAUUCC
RNAcentral lists this long non-coding RNA (367 nucleotides) under Pogona vitticeps (central bearded dragon). RNAcentral describes it as "lncRNA (ENSPVIG00000007336.1)". Lineage: Eukaryota; Metazoa; Chordata; Lepidosauria; Squamata; Agamidae. The record is from RNAcentral.